GCGGAAGUAGUUAAGUGGUAGAAUACAACCUUGCCAAGGUUGGGGUCGCGGGUUCGAAUCCCGUCUUCCGCUCCA
This 75-nucleotide transfer RNA is filed under the name Bacillus pseudomycoides. RNAcentral describes it as "tRNA-Gly". It matches the Rfam family "tRNA". Rfam says of the family: Transfer RNA (tRNA) molecules are approximately 80 nucleotides in length. The record is from RNAcentral. Lineage: Bacteria; Bacillati; Bacillota; Bacilli; Caryophanales; Bacillaceae.